UAGUUAAAAAUAGAUGUGUAAUAACCAUUGAUAUUCACGUCACCAUCAUUUGAUCUAAACAGUUUAUAAUUGCGGUAUCAAUUGAAACGAACACUUAAAUUUCAUUUUCAAUAAUUUAACAAAUCCGUGUUUAUUAUUUAUAUGGUUAAUGUAAUUACCAUUUGAAUUGUGCGGACA
Long non-coding RNA from Oppia nitens, 177 nucleotides. RefSeq lists it as uncharacterized. The transcript is spliced from 3 exons. The record is from RefSeq and is a predicted model, not a curated record. Lineage: Eukaryota; Metazoa; Arthropoda; Arachnida; Sarcoptiformes; Oppiidae.